UGGUGGAGUGAUUUGUCUGGUUUAUUCCGUUAACGAACGAGACGUGUGUGUUUAUUUGUUGUGUGCGUGAUAUUUGUCAUGCACAGGACAAUAGACAGACUAUUAGUGACUAACUAAUUGAAGUGACACGCAAUAACA
RNAcentral lists this ribosomal RNA (138 nucleotides) under uncultured eukaryote. RNAcentral describes it as "partial 18S ribosomal RNA". It matches the Rfam family "Eukaryotic small subunit ribosomal RNA", at positions 1299 to 1458 of the family's 1831-position model. The record is from RNAcentral.